GAAAACGACUGCUAAGACUGGAUAGUAGACAAGAAGGCAUCUUCUUGUUUUUAAAAGACCUAUUAAUAGGUAUGCUUAGGGAGGAGCUUGCGUCACAUUAGUUAGUUGGUGGGGUAAAGGCCUACCAAGACUAUGAUGUGUAGCCGGGCUGAGAGGUUGAACGGCCACAUUGGGACUGAGACACGGCCCAAACUCCUACGGGAGGCAGCAGUAGGGAAUUUUCGGCAAUGGAGGAAACUCUGACCGAGCAACGCCGCGUGAACGAUGAAGUAUUUCGGUACGUAAAGUUCUUUUAUUAGGGAAGAAUAAAUGAUGGAAAAAUCAUUCUGACGGUACCUAAUGAAUAAGCCCCGGCUAACUAUGUGCCAGCAGCCGCGGUAAUACAUAGGGGGCAAGCGUUAUCCGGAAUUAUUGGGCGUAAAGGGUGCGUAGGCUGUUAAAUAAGUUUAUGGUCUAAGUGCAAUGCUCAACAUUGUGAUGCUAUAAAAACUGUUUAGCUAGAGUAAGAUAGGGGCAAGUGGAAUUCCAUGUGUAGUGGUAAAAUGCGUAAAUAUAUGGAGGAACACCAGUAGCGAAGGCGGCUUGCUGGGUCUUUACUGACGCUGAGGCACGAAAGCGUGGGGAGCAAACAGGAUUAGAUACCCUGGUAGUCCACGCCGUAAACGAUGAGUACUAAACGUUGGGUAAAACCAGUGUUGAAGUUAACACAUUAAGUACUCCGCCUGAGUAGUACGUACGCAAGUAUGAAACUUAAAGGAAUUGACGGGACUCCGCACAAGCGGUGGAUCAUGUUGUUUAAUUCGAAGGUACCCGAAAAACCUCACCAGGUCUUGACAUGCUUCUGCAAAGCUGUAGAAACACAGUGGAGGUUAUCAGUUGCACAGGUGGUGCAUGGUUGUCGUCAGCUCGUGUCGUGAGAUGUUGGGUUAAGUCCCGCAACGAGCGCAACCCUUAUUGUUAGUUGCCAGCACGUAAUGGUGGGGACUUUAGCAAGACUGCCAGUGAUAAAUUGGAGGAAGGUGGGGACGACGUCAAAUCAUCAUGCCCCUUAUGACCUGGGCUACAAACGUGAUACAAUGGCUGUUACAAAGGGUAGCUGAAACGCAAGUUUUUGGCGAAUCUCAAAAAAACAGUCUCAGUUCGGAUUGAAGUCUGCAACUCGACUUCAUGAAGUUGGAAUCGCUAGUAAUCGCGAAUCAGCAUGUCGCGGUGAAUACGUUCACGGGGUUUGUACACACCGCCCGUCA
RNAcentral lists this ribosomal RNA (1247 nucleotides) under 'Allium cepa' phytoplasma. RNAcentral describes it as "bacterial SSU rRNA". It matches the Rfam family "Bacterial small subunit ribosomal RNA", at positions 152 to 1399 of the family's 1533-position model. Lineage: Bacteria; Bacillati; Mycoplasmatota; Mollicutes; Acholeplasmatales; Acholeplasmataceae. The record is from RNAcentral.